RNAcentral lists this ribosomal RNA (397 nucleotides) under uncultured bacterium. RNAcentral's name for it is "bacterial SSU rRNA". It matches the Rfam family "Bacterial small subunit ribosomal RNA", at positions 29 to 416 of the family's 1533-position model. The record is from RNAcentral.
AACGAACGCUGGCGGCGCGCUUAACACAUGCAAGUCGAACGAGAAGGCGUAGCAAUACGCUUGUACAGUGGCGAACGGGUGAGUAAUACGUGGGCGACCUACCCUCGAGUGGGGAAUAACCCGCCGAAAGGCGGGCUAAUGCCGCGUACGCUUCCAUCUUUAUGGAGGUGGAAGGAAAGCCGUGCCGUGGGCACGGCGCUCAAGGAUGGGCUCACGUCCUAUCAGCUUGUUGGUAGGGAACGGCCUACCAAGGCUCCGACGGGUAGCUGGUCUGAGAGGACGAUCAGCCACACUGGCACUGCGACACGGGCCAGACUCCUACGGGAGGCAGCAGUGAGGAAUAUUGCGCAAUGGGCGAAAGCCUGACGCAGCGACGCCGCGUGGGGGAGUGAAGGUC